Syzygium oleosum is the source of this 284-nucleotide long non-coding RNA. RefSeq lists it as uncharacterized. NCBI's taxonomy places the organism in Eukaryota, Viridiplantae, Streptophyta, Magnoliopsida, Myrtales, Myrtaceae. The record is from RefSeq and is a predicted model, not a curated record. The transcript is spliced from 2 exons.
CUCCCCCUCAAGCUGGAGCAGAACAAAGAGUGAGAAGCCGCGAGACCUCAGAUCAUCGUGCUACCUUGCACGAGAGGGUCGCAUGACUCACGCGAGAGAGUCGCCUGACUCGUGCGAGGUGGGUCGCGCUGAGGUGAGUCGCGCAACCUCGCGCGAGAGAGAGAGAGAGGAGUCACGUGCGAGAGAUCGGUUCAGAGGCAAGCCACAGCGCCGGCGAGAUGUUCCAGCGAGUGGUCGACGGCGGCGAGUGGCUGCUCCGUCGGCUAGGGUUAAGAACCUUGCUC